ACUGGAGUCAGUUGGCUACUGUGAGAAAAAGAAAGAGUCAGUGCCUGGAGGAGCUGCCCUCAGGAAACACCAGGGAGGUACGAGACUCUAGCACUAAGGAGACAACAGUGUGGAACCCCUGUAACCUGAUGACAACUUAGAUGUUAACUUUGCAAGGUCCUUGAUAGUGUGAAUCAUUCUUGGCUCAUAUAUUGUCAAUAUUUCAAGCCUGAAAAGUACUGUCUCCUGAGUUCAAAAGAACAUCAGAUGCACUCAGCACAUUUCAGAAAGCAUUGAGUCUACCUCAGGAGAUGUUAGCUGGGGUCCUGGAGACAGGAGAGCUGCGUCAGCAGGGCACGGUGCCCAGACUGAUUAGUUCUGCCAUGUUGAUGCAGCUAUGCUGCUUCCUGUUCCACAGCGAGGACAUUUGGAGACAUCUGAGAUAUCGUUGCCUUGCAUAGACAUAAGGACAAACAGGCUGCUACUAAAAAAUGCAAAUGUGCACAGCGCGGAAAAUAAAGUUAUACAUAUCCCAGCUUUACAUUUGCACGCACACUGCUUCUGUUUCAGAGGAGAAAGGGAGAGUCAGAAAUGGCUGUUGCACCCAGUUCAGCUUGCCUGCAUCACUGAAAUUAAUAUUUAAAAAAAAUGGUUUUUAUAUACCAUCAUAUGGCCAUUUGCUUUAUCUGCCAGUUUCUCACAUUGAUGCUUGUCAGUGCUCAUCUUCCUACCUAGAUUUUAGACCACAAGGAAAUGGAAGCUCAUGUCUGAAGAGGGAAGCUCAUUUUCCAUUCUGCAAAGCCUUAAAGUACCCUUAAGUACAGAAACUAUAAUUCUGGUUGAAGAUACUGAGAACUCUGGCUGAAAUUUGUCCCCCUGACUACACUGGCCCAUCAAGCCAGGAGAUAAGAACCAGUCUGUCUGACCCAGAUGAAGACAAUGUGCCAGUAGAUUUAAAUGCUUAGUGUGCAGGUUUGCUACAGCUGUGCUCUGUUGCAGUCCUGGCUGGACUGCAGGACACUUCUUUGUAGUACUAAAACCCUGAGCUUUCAGUGUAUGCCUUGGACUUUUUCAGUGGCUGUCGUUUGACUGAGAUGUAAACAAUUGUGGUGUUACAUUUUAUUUGAAUGGAAUAAACAAUCGGCAGAUGUAAUCUGAAGGGACGGAAAAAAUGUUUAAACUCCUGCUGUCUCUGGUGUCAAACCUUUAGCGCAUUAAUUCAAAUCCAUUGUGGCUUCUACCAAAGACUUAAUUUGUACCUUAUCUGGUUUUUAUAAUUUAAGAUGGUCACUGGGUAAUUUCUUAUGGUCAUUUCACUGCAGUUUAAAAGGUUUCUGUAGAACUUGAGAGUAUUUUUCUGCCCUCUUUUGUCUAGAAUUCAGACACAAUGCUCGGGCAUUUGUCACAAGUAAUGGAACUGAAACCAUCUGCACUGGGAUGUAGGGGAAGGAGGGGUA
This is a long non-coding RNA of Zonotrichia leucophrys gambelii, 1436 nucleotides long. RefSeq lists it as uncharacterized. The transcript is spliced from 3 exons. NCBI's taxonomy places the organism in Eukaryota, Metazoa, Chordata, Aves, Passeriformes, Passerellidae. The record is from RefSeq and is a predicted model, not a curated record.